GGGGGAACAGUUAAGACAACCUGAACAGUGGUGGAAGCUGAAUUAGCGAGGAUGACUCCUGCUCCUGUCAUCUCUAAGCUCCUCAUACAUCUUUACCUGCACAUGAGGAAAAUCACUCCUGUAGAAUGCAGAUGUUCAGAGGGAGAUGAUGCCACAUCUGGUCCAGCUGAUGGAAGGUCUUGAAGUUCUCUGACUGGCCUCGACUGAAGAUGGUCGUCUCACUGGAUUUAAGGUUCAGAUGCUCAGUAACAAACUCCACCAAUGUGCCAACAGGGAAGCUUUAGGUUUAUUAAAUGUUGCUAUGAAGGUAUUGCUGUUUUUCUUUGUGAAUGCAAUGUGCUCCAACUGAAAGUUGAAUUAGAACUUAGAAGUAAAUCCUUCCAUCUGAAAGGAUUUAGUUGCAUUAAUAACCUCAUAACAUUCUAAUUUUUAUUCCAGUCUUAGUUGGAAAUAGAAUCUCUGUAUUGAUUCAGGUAAAAACUGAACUUCACAGCAUGAUGGAGCAAAACACCCAGAUGAAAACUGUGAUGGUGUUGGAUUGUCAGACCGUAAUGUUGCAGCUCAAAGCAGCUUUUCUAGCUCAGUUCAUUCUGACAUUCAGCUAUGAAUCAACACAGCAGAUGGUGAUCCAUGCUGUGGAAGUCUCACAUCUCCUGAUUUAAUGGAGCUGCUUUGCACUUUUUACACUGUUUAUUCACCAACACUUUAUUUAAUAAAAGUCCUAUCUAGUUUUUAUGAGGAAAGUGAUGUUUUAAUUUCUCUGUGAAUAACUGCAGUCUAAUGAACAGCUGGAGUUGUAACAUCUGUCCUGAUAUUGAUCAUGAAGUAUUGAUCAGAAUACUUAUGGUCAGCAGUCAUCCCUGAAGUUUUACAUUGAAAUCUUUACUUGUGUUGUGAACUUUGGUAAGAAGCAGAAACGUUAGCGUUGCCAUGGAUACAUGAGUGUUAAAUUCUGUCCAUGUUUCCAUUUUGGGAAAUGCAGUCCAGUUCCAGAAUGUGGAGGAAUUUAGUCUCAAUCACAGACAACAAAUAUUAUCUGAAAGUCGAGUUAUUGUUGUUUAUCAGCACAAUACAAAAAUAUUCAUGUUAGACAUAUUCCAGUUAAGACUCUAGAAUAUUAUGAUUUAUGUAAAUUUACCUCAAUAAUAUGAAUGUUCAGGUUAAGAUUGUACAGUGAUAUUUAUUAUGUAAGUUUAGCUGAUUAAACAAAUGACUCUGCACUAAAAUAUUACUUAAAUUUACAUCAUUAUUAUAGUAUUUAGGGUCAGACCCUACAGUAUUGCGAUUAAGAAAUCAAAUAUUUUAUAAAAUGUAAAUACACUGAACUCAUUUGGAUAUAUUUAAGUGAGACUCUACAAUAUUAUUUUACACAAAUCUAUCUAAAUCAAAAUUUUAAUAAUUUUCACGCCAAACAUUUACUGGACUGAUUUAAAUAUUAAAAUCACUCCUUUCUAAUCCUCUGCUGUACGUUGAAACCUGAGGCCUUAAAUAGAAACACACAAGUAUCUGAUUGAAGGAACUUCUGCAGAGUCCUGGUUCCAGAACAUGAUGAUAGAAUUAUAGACAAACUUUAACAAAAGCUGACUGAGAGUUUACAGGUUUUUGUUAGAUUUCUUCAGUAAUUUAAUGAGAGUUAUCAGCAAAAAUCAAGUGUUCAUUUGAUGAACUUCAUUUCCUAAAACAUCCAGAAUUGGAGCUCAUAUCUUUGGCAGCUGUAAAGUUUCUGCUCCUUCAAAGUUCACAACACAAUGAAUUAAUUCCUAAAACACUCUCAAUGCUGGAGAGUGUUUGUGAUGCUGAAGCAGUGACCAGUUUUUCUGUUUCUUCUCUGGAGAUGCACAAUGAGGGACGUCUGCAGAGACUGAGAAAGAGUCUCACCACAUCCUGACAUGAGGAAAAAGACUUUAUUGAAGACUACAGUGAGAAAAACUAUCAGACAGCAGACGGCUGCAUUCAAGGUGAGCUCUGAACAUUUGAUCUGGAACAGGAAUUCAAUAACGGCAGCAUGAGCUUCAUUUCAGUCUGUAGCUGCUGAAUUCAUGGAUGAAUCAUCUGGCACUAGAGAGGAAGACCAUCAAACAUCCACAUCAGCUGAUGGAGGUCCAAGAGUCUCACCAAACAACCAACCUACAGAGUGAAGACCUCGAAUCUGAUUGGACGGCCUCCUGUUCAGCCACGUGUGAACAAAUGCCUCUAAGCUGAUUUGUUUUCUAAAAUAAGUCUAGUUUGAGUCCUAAUCUAUGCCUGUGUGUUUGCUUCUUUACACUGCUGUUAACAGUUAAGGCUGUUAGAUUGUUCCAGAUAAGACGAGUACAAAAUUCUUCAGAGCUGUUCUACCACGAGCCUGACAGGAAGAACUCCAACAGCUAUGGAAUGUUCCUGUGUUCCUACAGUAGUGAAUUUUAGGUGGAAUAUACCAUUGAACUCAACUUUUAGGUCUACAUUGGAGGAUUUUAGGUGGAAUUUUCGUCCAAACCUCUUUUAGUCUACAUUUAAGGAUGUUUAGGAUGGUAUAUUCUUCCAAACCAACUUCUCAGGUCUACAUUUCAGGUGGAAUAUUCCUCCAUACUAACUUUUUUGGUCUACAUUGAAGGAUUUUUUCUAAACCACCCUUUCGGGUCUAUAUUUGGGGUUUUAGGUGGAAUAUUCCUUUUAACCAGCCCCUCAGGUCUCUUUGAGGAUUUUGGAUGGAAUACUCGGUUAAACCAACAUUUUAGGUGCAUGUCCAAGGAUUUUUGGUGGAAUGUUCCUAUAAGGUGGAUGUUUGAGGACCUUGUAGGUGGAAUACUUCCUGAAACCAACCUUUUAGGUCAACAUUCAAAGAUUUAAGGUGGAAUAUUCCUUUAAACCAACCUAAAUUUCAUGUUUUGAUCAUUAUCAAGUGAGAAACCUCAAUCCAGAUUCCUCAUAAUGACAUUUGAGAUUUAUGCUGCUGUUAUUUGUUUAGUCCAGACUAAAUGACAGAAAUCCACAACUGUAAUUUUAUUUCAGGACUCCGUUAUUAAAUGUCAAAACAAUCCAUGUGACUCUAAAAACUCAACAGCUGUACAAACUCUAAGAUUAAACUCUCCACAAGGAUUCAAAAUAAGUUGGACUUCUACAUGAGAGCUUUAAUUAUUC
Molecule: long non-coding RNA, 3120 nt
Organism: Amphiprion ocellaris (clown anemonefish)
Lineage: Eukaryota; Metazoa; Chordata; Actinopteri; Pomacentridae
Source: Ensembl